GCACAUAUGAUGAAGCAAAUCAGUAUGAACAGUCAUGAUACUGUAAACGCUUUCUGAUGUG
This 61-nucleotide small nucleolar RNA is filed under the name Heterocephalus glaber (naked mole-rat). RNAcentral describes it as "Small nucleolar RNA Z39". It matches the Rfam family "Small nucleolar RNA Z39". From Rfam's summary of the family: Z39 is a member of the C/D class of snoRNA which contain the C (UGAUGA) and D (CUGA) box motifs. Most of the members of the box C/D family function in directing site-specific 2'-O-methylation of substrate RNAs. The record is from Rfam by way of RNAcentral. Lineage: Eukaryota; Metazoa; Chordata; Mammalia; Rodentia; Bathyergidae.